Molecule: small RNA, 137 nt
Filed under: Paenibacillus sp.
Lineage: Bacteria; Bacillati; Bacillota; Bacilli; Caryophanales; Paenibacillaceae
Also listed under: 1 other name
Description: c-di-AMP sequence
Rfam family: c-di-AMP riboswitch aptamer (ydaO/yuaA leader)
About the family: This family represents a conserved RNA structure found upstream of the ydaO and yuaA genes in Bacillus subtilis and related genes in other bacteria. The ydaO/yuaA element is thought to act as a genetic "off" switch for the ydaO and yuaA genes in its native state.
Source: RNAcentral
AAUAGACAAUGGCCAAAGCUUCCCAAGAAGCGCGGGGAACCCAAUUUUUCGGGGUGAAGCCGCCGCCGUGCGGCAGGGUGAUUGCUCUUUGACCCGAACCCGUCAGCUAACCUCGCAGGCCAAUAAGGAGAGGAUGA